UUCAUGGAGAGUUUGAUCCUGGCUCAGGACGAACGCUGGCGGCGUGCCUAAUACAUGCAAGUCGAGCGGACCGACGGGAGCUUGCUCCCUUAGGUCAGCGGCGGACGGGUGAGUAACACGUGGGUAACCUGCCUGUAAGACUGGGAUAACUCCGGGAAACCGGGGCUAAUACCGGAGGCUUGAUUGAACCGCAUGGUUCAAUUAUAAAAGGUGGCUUCGGCUACCACUUACAGAUGGCCCCGCGGC
This 246-nucleotide ribosomal RNA is filed under the name Bacillus haynesii. RNAcentral describes it as "partial 16S ribosomal RNA". It matches the Rfam family "Bacterial small subunit ribosomal RNA", at positions 1 to 237 of the family's 1533-position model. Lineage: Bacteria; Bacillati; Bacillota; Bacilli; Caryophanales; Bacillaceae. The record is from RNAcentral.